Calliphora vicina (urban bluebottle blowfly) is the source of this 478-nucleotide long non-coding RNA. RefSeq lists it as uncharacterized. The transcript is spliced from 2 exons. NCBI's taxonomy places the organism in Eukaryota, Metazoa, Arthropoda, Insecta, Diptera, Calliphoridae. The record is from RefSeq and is a predicted model, not a curated record.
UAGUUCUAAAGUUUAGCAUUUUAAACUAUAUACGAGUAUGAAAAUCACUUCAGUUUUUGUAAUAUUUGCAUGGGCUUUAAUUUUCUGCUUCGUUAGCAUAGAGGCAGGACCUGCAUGCAAUAAGGCAUGUACCCGCGAAUCAAAUCCCGUUUGUGGUAGAUAUCGAAGACCAAGUGGAAUAUCAUCACAAUGUACUUUCGCAAAUCCAUGUUUGUUGGCAGUUCACAGAUGCCAGACAGGAGAACCGUGGACUGCAACUCCAGGAGCUUGCCCUAAAAUGACGGUCGAUUGCGAGAGACAAGUAAGAGGUUAAAUAAGCUAUGUUUAUGAAAAUUUUAAGAAAUAUGUAAAUGAAUUGUGCUAAAAAGAAUUUGAAAUCAAUGUGUUAUUUUAUUGUUGGAAAAUUAUUAGAUUUCUUAACUUUAAACAAUACAUUCAGAAUAAAGGAAAUUAAAUUGUUCGUCUUGAAAAAUGAUAA